This 253-nucleotide ribosomal RNA is filed under the name uncultured bacterium. RNAcentral describes it as "partial 16S ribosomal RNA". It matches the Rfam family "Bacterial small subunit ribosomal RNA", at positions 524 to 776 of the family's 1533-position model. The record is from RNAcentral.
UACGAAGGGGACUAGCGUUGUUCGGAUUUACUGGGCGUAAAGCGCGCGUAGGCGGAUUGCUAAGUCAGGGGUGAAAUCCUGGAGCUCAACUCCAGAACUGCCUUUGAUACUGGCGAUCUUGAGUCCGGGAGAGGUGAGUGGAACUGCGAGUGUAGAGGUGAAAUUCGUAGAUAUUCGCAAGAACACCAGUAGCGAAGGCGGCUCACUGGCCCGGUACUGACGCUGAGGUGCGAAAGCGUGGGGAGCAAACAGG